CGCGUGCUUACCUGCAGUCGAACGAUGAUCCCCAGCUUGCUGGGGGGAUUAGUGGCGAACGGGUGAGUAACACGUGAGUAACCUGCCCUUGACUCUGGGAUAAGCCUGGGAAACUGGGUCUAAUACUGGAUACGACCUUCCAUCGCAUGGUGGUUGGUGGAAAGCUUUUGUGGUUUUGGAUGGACUCGCGGCCUAUCAGCUUGUUGGUGGGGUAAUGGCCUACCAAGGCGACGACGGGUAGCCGGCCUGAGAGGGUGGACGGCCACACUGGGACUGAGACACGGCCCAGACUCCUACGGGAGGCAGCAGUGGGGAAUAUUGCACAAUGGGCGCAAGCCUGAUGCAGCGACGCCGCGUGAGGGAUGAAGGCCUUCGGGUUGUAAACCUCUUUCAGUAGGGAAGAAGCGAAAGUGACGGUACCUGCAGAAGAAGCGCCGGCUAACUACGUGCCAGCAGCCGCGGUAAUACGUAGGGCGCAAGCGUUAUCCGGAAUUAUUGGGCGUAAAGAGCUCGUAGGCGGUUUGUCGCGUCUGCCGUGAAAGUCCGGGGCUUAACUCCGGAUCUGCGGUGGGUACGGGCAGACUUGAGUGAUGUAGGGGAGACUGGAAUUCCUGGUGUAGCGGUGAAAUGCGCAGAUAUCAGGAGGAACACCGAUGGCGAAGGCAGGUCUCUGGGCAUUAACUGACGCUGAGGAGCGAAAGCAUGGGGAGCGAACAGGAUUAGAUACCCUGGUAGUCCAUGCCGUAAACGUUGGGCACUAGGUGUGGGGGACAUUCCACGUUUUCCGCGCCGUAGCUAACGCAUUAAGUGCCCCGCCUGGGGAGUACGGCCGCAAGGCUAAAACUCAAAGGAAUUGACGGGGGCCCGCACAAGCGGCGGAGCAUGCGGAUUAAUUCGAUGCAACGCGAAG
Molecule: ribosomal RNA, 910 nt
Filed under: Arthrobacter tumbae
Lineage: Bacteria; Bacillati; Actinomycetota; Actinomycetes; Micrococcales; Micrococcaceae
Description: bacterial SSU rRNA
Rfam family: Bacterial small subunit ribosomal RNA
Source: RNAcentral